Molecule: long non-coding RNA, 2515 nt
Organism: Nematostella vectensis (starlet sea anemone)
Lineage: Eukaryota; Metazoa; Cnidaria; Anthozoa; Actiniaria; Edwardsiidae
Exons: 2
Source: RefSeq, a predicted model, not a curated record
UUCGGCUGAAAGAUAAAACAGCACCGGUCACCAUUAUACCCAACAACAUUGGGUACAAUGGUGACCAUACUGUGGGCUCAACAAGAAAAUAGACUUAAUGACACUACAGGUAAAACAAAUCAAUCCUGCUACAUUAAUGGUGGUAUAUCUCUCUUUCCAUGACACUGUUAUCCAUCUAGGAUAUCUUUUGUAACAGAAGCCUAUGUCAGAACUACUGCCAUAUUUUAGAAGCACAAAGAGAAAGCUUUAUGAAGUUAUAUGAAGUUGUGUCAUGCAAGAUAAUUAGUAUUCCAAGCCAUCAGAAUGUGCCAGCAAUUCAAACAUAUGACAUUAUGCUGUUGUGCGCUCAACACUAAGUGUGUUGUGUAUAGGGCUAUAAGCCUGAGAUGGCAGAACAGCUGAGUGAUGUAGGCAUGUUCCCUCUUUGCCAAAGAGUAUUUGAAUUUUUUUCUGGGAGUUUCUUAGUUGUGUACAUUGCAUAUCAACACUUAUCCUAAGUUAAGUCAGUGUAAUUCAGCCUCAGAGUGAAGUCCCUGAUAGAGCCAGUCCAUAGCAAAAGCGUGCAGUAGAAAAUGUCCAGUCCAAAUUGUUUCAUACCAGUCAAGGAAUAAUAUGAAGGUUAGGGAGUGGUGAUACGGUUAGAUAAAGUGUAAGGGCUGGGGUUAGAUUGAGUAUUAGGGGUUGAGGUUGAGUUAUGUGUUAGGGUUAAGGUUAGGUUAAGUGUUAGGGUUAGGUUAAGUAUUGGGUUUAGGUUAAGUAUUGGGGUUAGGGCUAUGUUAAGUAUUAGUGUUAGGUUCACUUCCACCUAUCCUCUUUGUGCUCAGUUGUGCAUGAGGCCUUGAUUCUUUUCCUCCAUUUGGGCCUGUCUAGAGCUACAAUUGCCUCGUUGCAAUAUUUCCAUCCUUCUUCUGUUCUCUCCUUUUCUACGGACCGCCUCCAUGUUGUCUUCGGUAAGUGCAGUUGCACAAUGGUGUUGUUGAGGCAUCCUGAGUACAUGUCCGAGGAACCCCAACCAUCAUCCAUCUCCUUCUCACUGUGUAGAUCCUGUUUCUUGGUUCAACUGCUUUGUUGAUUUUAUGUAUGGCCAAAAGAUGCCCAAAAUUCUCUUUAUACACUGGUACUAGAAUGAAUUAAGAUUUUCACAGGCCUCUCCAUUUGUCUCCCAUGUUUCACUCCCAUACAAGAGGACAAGCUUCACAAGGGUGUUAAAUAGCUUGUUGUAUUGUUUGGAGCCCUAUACUUACUUCAGUUUCCUGAAAGCUGCUUUGGCCUUGCUGAGGUGAAGUCAUUGGUUUUAUGUAUAGCUGGACCAUGCUAGAACCUGAUCUGCUCUUGGCCCUUGCAGUUCAAUUUCAGUACUCAAUUUUUGAUUGACUAAUGUUAGUCCUACUUUGGCUCUCUAAGAUGGCUCGUCUGCAUUUGCUGUGGUUGGUCGAAAUAGGUGCAAUGUCAUUCACAAAGUCUAUGUCUUCUAGUUGUACUAGUUGUGUGUUGAACUUCCAUCUGAUUCCAGUGUUGCCUUGGCUAGUUGCUUCGCACAUUAUCCAAGCAAUGGCAAGCCUGACAGUAUGUAGCAUUGUUUGACUCCAGCAUCCACUUGGAUGCUUGGCCUCCAUCAAGAACUGCGCAUUCGCUAUCUUGGUAAAGGGUUACGGUAAUGUUAAGGGUUGGGGUUAGUGUUAGAGUAAGAUCAAGUAUUGUAGUUAAGAAUUGUGUCAAUGUUUGGACUAGUACUUUAAUGUUUAACAAGCUGAGGUUUAGUAGUGCGAGGUUUAGUAUGCGCAAUAGUUGCCAAAGCAUAGCAUAGUAGAAGAACAUAAGUUUCAAGUGUCUUCAAGUAAUUGAGCUUCUCAAUGAAGGUCUCUUAUAUUAAAGUUUUCAGCAGUAGACACCAGCCGGUAGAGCAAAAAGUUGGUGUGUCCAUUGCAAGACCUCGCCAGUAUACAUCAGCCGGUAAAGCAAUAAGGUAAGUCGGUGAGUCCAUUGCAAGACCUCGCCAGUAUACACCAGCCGGUAGAGCAAUAAGGUAAGUCGGUGAGUCCAUUGCAAGACCUCGCCAGUAUACACCAGCCGGUAGAGCAAUAAGGUAAGUCAAUAUGUCUAUUGCAAGAUCUCGCCAGUAUACACCAGCCGGUAGAGCAAUAAGGUAAGUCGGUGUGUUCAUUGCAAGACCUCGCCAGUAUACACCAGCCGGUAGAGCAAUAAGGUAAGUCAAUAUGUCUAUUGCAAGACCUCGCCAGUAUACACCAGCCGGUAGAGCAAUAAGGUAAGUCAGUACGUCUAUUGCAAGACCUCGCCAGUAUACACCAGCCGGUAGAGCAAUAAGGUAAGUCUGAGUGUAGCUUAGUUGUGAAUAUGCAUCCUUUUUUAAGACUUUGUAAGACAAGAACAUGACAAAAACCCUAAUAGGCUUAUUUGUUGGAAGUGUAAGAGAUAGGGGGUGAUAAAGGUUUCUGGAUAGUGAUUGUGAUCUUACUAGUACAUAUUCCAUGAGACAGCUCUGUAUAGGUAAAAA